GGUGACAGGCCCGUGCGACCGAUUGCCGCGUUCGCGGACGAGUCCUCCUUCGAGUCGGGUUGUUCGCUAAUGCAGCCCCAAGCAGGUGGUAAGCUCCAUCUAAAGCUAAAUAUAACCACGAGCCCGAUAGUCCACAAGUACAGUGAUGGAAAGUUGAAAAGUACUCUGAAGAGAGAGUCAAAUAGCCCGUGAAGCUGCCAGUAUGGGAUUAAGCGCACGUAUGACGCGUGUCGUCGGCCAAAUAGGCGACUGUCGGGUGUGCACACUGUGUGUGUUAGUGUGCCUUGUUUGCAUGCUUGCGCGCGGUGUAUCGCGUGCCUCGGCAGAACGCUUCCCUUUGGUCGGCAUUGACAGGUCGUGGCUUCGUUGCCCAUGGUCUUAUUGCCGGCUGGUGAUUCACAGAGCCGGGUCGAGCGACGGCGCCGCCUCACGGUGGUGUUGUUGUGCUCCGUCGAAUGUGCACUCUCGCAGUGGCGACGGUCGGCUUGGUCUGUGAUGCAAUAUGCCUGCCGAUGGCGAACGACCGGGCGACGGCUAGCGCAAAUUGGAGACGUCUCUGACGUCUCUGCUCGGCCUUUGCGUCGUUAUGUGCGGCCCGUCUUGAAACACGGACCAAGGAGUCUAACAUGUGAGCGAGCGAUUGAGAUUGUCUAAUCUCAAACGCGCAAUGAAAGUAAAGUGUCGUCUAACGGCACGAGCGGAGAUCCGCCGUCACUUGUGGCGUGCGGCGCAUCCGCGGGCCGCGCCAUCGGCUGGCUUGCUCUCUGUUUGCGCAGAUUGCACUNCUGAGGCGCGGACCUAGAGCCCACACGUUGGGACCCGAAA
Molecule: ribosomal RNA, 825 nt
Filed under: Scalpellum sp. CJS-2008
Lineage: Eukaryota; Metazoa; Arthropoda; Thecostraca; Scalpellidae
Description: partial 28S ribosomal RNA
Rfam family: Eukaryotic large subunit ribosomal RNA
Source: RNAcentral